GGCGACAUGGCCGAGUGGUCUAAGGCGCUGGAAUUAGGUUUUCCCCUUGUUUAAUUGGGUGAUUAUGUAAUCCAGUCUCUUUCGAGGCGUGGGUUCGAACCCCACUGUCGUCA
Mycena latifolia is the source of this 113-nucleotide non-coding RNA. Lineage: Eukaryota; Fungi; Basidiomycota; Agaricomycetes; Agaricales; Mycenaceae. The record is from the annotation of a GenBank genome assembly.